RNAcentral lists this ribosomal RNA (361 nucleotides) under uncultured bacterium. RNAcentral describes it as "bacterial SSU rRNA". It matches the Rfam family "Bacterial small subunit ribosomal RNA", at positions 30 to 395 of the family's 1533-position model. The record is from RNAcentral.
AUUGAACGCUGGCGGCAUGCCUUACACAUGCAAGUCGAACGGCAGCGCGGGGCAACCUGGCGGCGAGUGGCGAACGGGUGAGUAAUAUAUCGGAACAUACCCUAGAGUGGGGAUAACGUAGCGAAGUUACGCUAAUACCGCAUACGCACUAAGGUGGAAAGUGGGGGAUCUUCGGACCUCAUGCUCAUGGAGUGGCCGAUAUCUGAUUAGCUAGUUGGUGAGGUAAAGGCUCACCAAGGCGACGAUCAGUAGCUGGUUUGAGAGAACGACCAGCCACACUGGAACUGAGACACGGUCCAGACUCCUACGGGAGGCAGCAGUGGGGAAUUUUGGACAAGUGGGGCAACCCUGAUCCAGCAAU